This is a long non-coding RNA of Phacochoerus africanus (Common warthog), 1249 nucleotides long. RefSeq lists it as uncharacterized. The transcript is spliced from 2 exons. The record is from RefSeq and is a predicted model, not a curated record. NCBI's taxonomy places the organism in Eukaryota, Metazoa, Chordata, Mammalia, Artiodactyla, Suidae.
GUGGGCGGGGCCAGCCUGCGGAGCCGGGACCCCGCGGAGAUCCGAGCCGGGUGGCCAGAAGAGGCAGGCCGGUAGCCGGGACCCGGUUCCUGGCACACGGCCUCCAGACAGCGACGCGAGGUGUUUGCACCUGCGGUGACCUGGCCCGCGCCUGCGCAGACGGACGCCUCCCACGCGGCACCGAGAUCACGCCCUUGGCUCGAGGCUGCGCGGGGCGACCUGGAGGAGCCCCCUCCCAUCAUCUCUUCCUCGGAAGCCGGAAGCCGGAGGGACUGGCAUCCUUCCUGGCCGACCUCACGCGACCCUCCGCCAGGCCUCUCCCUCUGUGAAAGAUCCCCCCCGCACCGCACUCCCAGGGAAUCCCAGCCCCUGAACCCCCCCCGCCCCGCGUUGUCUCCCGGGCGUGUCCACGCAGGUCACCCUGCCCCAUCGCCUGCCAUAGCUCCAGAGCCCCUGCACCUGCGGGCCUCACCGUGGCUUGUAGUGCGCUGCGUGGCCGGCUUCGUGGUUCGAGGGGCAUCCCCAGGCUCUUUGUAGGCUGCCCUGGAGCUCGCAUCCUCCCUGCGGGGUGAACAGGGGCUGCAGGGCCUGGAAGAGGAGAAAACCGGGGGCGAUUGGUGCGGGGAGGGAGUAGUGAGGAAAUGCCUACACAUGUGCUAGGUCUGCUGGGAGGGGCUGCUAGGGACCUGGCUGAAGACAAGAGCAAAGCCUGGAGCAAGGAAGGGGGACACAGAGUCAGCCCCCAAUCCUGUUUGAGCACCAGCUAUACACCAGCGGCAGACAAAGAGCAACAAGCCGAAAAAUAAGCCCAGAAAUGCCACUUGGUGCCCAGUGUGGAUGGAAGGAGCCAGGACGGAGCUGCAGGAGGACAAGCAUCCACACGGGGGAACAGAGUCCGAAGCCCUGAGGCAGAGUCCCGCGGCGAGGCCAGGCACCCUCCCUGGGGCUUCCAGGAUGGUCCGGCUCCUGGGGCCGCAACUCACUGCCAGCCUCCUCUCCCCUCAGCCCGCCUUGUGGCUCCGGGAGAGUCCUGACCCCGCCGAGGUCUCUGUUGCAGACCAUGCCUCUCCAUUCACACUGUAGUAGCUGCCUCUAAGGAAACAGGACCUCAGGCUUUAUCUUUCUCCAUUUGCAAGAAAAUGGACUGCAGGAAAAACAUCUUGGAAAGGAAACUCCACAUCUGACCAUUACUGCAGACUUUCACUGUGUUUCGUAUUCACUAAAAUGGCAAAGAUACUUCAUCGCACCA